UUUUAUUCUAAAACAAAAUUGAAUGUUCGGAUUCGAUGCUUUAGAAGUGUUCCGAUUUUGGUCCACAGAAAUGUGGUCACCGUAUAUAUAAGAGUUACAGAAACGAGCUACUGGACCCCAAA
This is a long non-coding RNA of Rhagoletis zephyria (snowberry fruit fly), 122 nucleotides long. RefSeq lists it as uncharacterized. Lineage: Eukaryota; Metazoa; Arthropoda; Insecta; Diptera; Tephritidae. The record is from RefSeq and is a predicted model, not a curated record.